This 3711-nucleotide small RNA is filed under the name Pan troglodytes (chimpanzee). Its description in RNAcentral is "retained intron". Lineage: Eukaryota; Metazoa; Chordata; Mammalia; Primates; Hominidae. The record is from RNAcentral.
UUUCCACAGGGAAGGCCCUACAUCAUCUGCUACCCUGAAAGAUCUGGAGAGCCCGUGCCAAGAACAAGCAGUAGUCCUGGAUUCAAGGUCCGUAGAAAUCGGUCAACUGAAGAACACCAUCAAAUCUUUGAAACAACAGAAGAAACAAGUGGAACAUCAGCUGGAAGAAGUAACGUGAUUUCGUUUCCUUGCAACAUGACUGCUGGGUUUGGGGGGCACUCAGACAUACAGGCCCCAGUCUCGUCUCACCCACUCCCAGCCUGGGGAAGAAGGCUCACCCUUCAGAUUCCACCCCAUCCCCACAGGGCCCCUGAUAACCUGGUCCCAUGGGUGGGCCUGUCCUGGGGCAUUGGUUGCAUUCUGGGGGCAUGUCUCUUGCUGUGCCAUCUCUGCCUCCCCCUGGUAAGAGCUCUGUCUUCCUCUUCCUACAGGAAAAGAAAGCAAACAACAAGAAACAGAAAGCCAAAAGGGUGCUAGAGGUUCAAAUCCAGACAUUGAACAUACAGAAAGAGGAACUAAAUACAGACCUGUACCACAUGAAACGUUCUCUCAGAUACUUUGAAGAAAAGUCCAAGGAUCUGGCUGUCCGCCUGCAACAUUCAUUGCAGCGUAAAGGAGAGUUAGAGAGUGUUCUCUCUGAUGUCAUGGCCACACAGAAGAAGAAGGCAAACCAGCAGUUGUCCGGCCCCAGUAAAGCACGUACGGAGUGGAAGUUAGAGCAGUCCAUGCGGGAGGAGGCACUGCUGAAAGCGCAGCUGACACAGUUGAAGGAGUCAUUUCAACAACUCCAAUUAGAAAGACAUGAGUAUGCUGAACAUCUAAAAGGAGAGAGGGCCCGGUGGCAGCAGAGGAUGAGAAAAAUGUCGCAGGAGAUUUGCACAUUAAAGAAAGAGAAGCAGCAAGAUAUGCGUCGGGUAGAGAAGCUGGAGAGGAGCUUGUCCAAACUCAAAAACCAGAUGGCUGAACCCUUGCCCCCGGAGCCCCCAGCAGUGCCCUCUGAGGUGGAGCUGCAGCACCUGAGGAAGGAACUAGAGAGAGUGGCAGGAGAGCUCCAGGCACAGGUCAAAAACAAUCAGCACAUGAGUCUCCUGAACCGGCAACAAGAAGAGAGGAUUCAGGAGCAGGAAGACAGGCUUUGGAAGCAGGAGGAGAGGCUUCAGGAGCAGCACGAGAAGCUUCAGCAGCUGGCCAAGCCACAGAGCGUCUUCGAGGAGCCGAACAAUGAGAACAAGAGCGCACUGCAGUUGGAGCAGCAAGUAAAGGAGCUACAGGAGAAGCUUGGUGAGGAGCACCUGGAAGCGGCCAGCCAGCAGAACCAGCAGCUAACAGCCCAGCUUAGCCUCAUGGCUCUCCCUGGGGAAGAGCAGCUUUAUGGAUCACCUGGAGGAGAAGGCUGACCUGAGUGAGCUGGUGAAGAAAAAAGAACUUUGCUUCAUCCGCCACUGGCGAGAGAGAUGCCAUCAGAAAAUCCAUCACCUUUUAUCAGAACCAGGGGGCCGUGCCAAAGAUGCGGCACUGGGAGGAGGACACCAUCAGGCUGGAGCUCAGGGAGGAGAUGAAGGUGAAGCUGCUGGAGCUGCAGCAGAUGGUAUUGCGGCUUACAGCAACUACAACAAUGGGCACAGAAAAUUCCUGGCCGCUGCCCACAACCCUGCUGAUGAGCCCGGUCCAGGAGCCCCAGCUCCCCAGGAGCUUGGGGCUGCAGACAAGCAUGGUGAUCUUUGUGAGGUGAGCCUCACCUCCUCUGCCCAAGGAGAGGCCAGGGAGGAUCCUCUCCUUGACAAGCCUACUGCACAGCCCAUCGUGCAGGACCACCAGGAGCACCCAGGCUUGGGCAGCAACUGCUGUGUGCCGUUCUUUCGCUGGGCUCGGCUGCCAAGAAGAAGGAGAUAAACAUCACCAUCAUCAAAGAGCUGCUCAAGAAAUUUUUAAAUAAGAAACCAAGUUAUGGGGUUAAUCUCCUACACAAUUCAUUUACUUCCUUUGAAUGUUAGUCACUCAUGAUUAUUUGUGUUUCUAAUUUAUAGUUUUAAGUUUAUUUGUAAAAAGUUAAAAGAGAGUGGGUGUCUGUGGCUCUCACUGAUGUUCACUCUGGCAUCCUUUAGCAUUUUUCUUUUUUAAUUUCAUAAUUGUAGGUCAUUAGCAUGCAUAUCGAGUUCACCCUUACGUGGUGGGAGUUCAAACACACAAAGACCCACUCUUUGCCCAAAACUGUUCUCUUUGGUUUGGAAUAGGCUGCCAUGCUUUUUAAAUGUUAUUGCAGCAUGUAUAUUCACUACAGAAUUCAGACAAAAUUUGCCUAUGUUCUGCUGUUGUUUGAUCUAAUCUUAAUCACAGUGAGCUCUUCGUUAGCUCAAUAUGUAGUUUGCCCCCAAGUGUGCACUGUUUAUUACUUUGUAAUAUGCCACUAUGAGUACUGACAUUUAGAGUUGUUUAAAGGCCAAGAACUGGAAAUAGCCUUUCCUCCAUUUUCUGUGUAUUGGUGAUGGGAGUGAAACCUUUUGGGGGAGCUUUUUAAAUCUCACAGAAGAGGAAAGUGGCCUCCUCUGGCAGGUAUGUGCAGGAUAGAAUGUGUUUCAUCUGUUCCGGUGCCAGGAAUUAGCGGUGUAUUAUGGUGGUUCCCUUAGGAUUUGUAUGUGCUCUGGGCUCAUGAAGAUACUGCAUCAUGAGCUGCAGCAGUUGCACUCUUUUUCGAUGACCUAAAAAGGGCUUAUUUCUGAGGAAUGAAAGGUUCCCAUCGUUGACUGUGGAUGUGGAAAGCCUUUCCUAGCUUAGAGCAUUUGUAUCUACAAUACAUUUUAAAGUCAGAGUUCAUGUUACCUGUUUUAAUCACAUGACUACAUGCCCCAGUACACAAAAGGGCACUGGUUGGCAUUCUUCUUAAUGUAUUUAGUGAAGAUCAUAAGAAAUCCUUUACGAGUUCAAACAUCCCUGGAACAGGCAUACAGGCUCUAGUCAAGAAUGAAUUAGAGUGAAGGAAAGCUGUGUGACACCUGGCAUUCCUCUCUGUUCACGGAGAUUCUUUGAGGCUUGAAGAUUGAUUUUACCAUCUAGACCUCUUUGGCUAAUACCUAUUCUUCAACCACCUUGGUUACUCUGACAUAGGAAUUUACUUCUUUUUCCUUGAAUGGAAAACACUUUAAAAAAUAAUAGAAACAUUAUUAUAAACUAAUAUAUGUGAGAUAGUUGAAACAAAAAGGAGUUUUAGUAGACGGUAUUGUACUCUCUUUGAAAAUCAAGGAGAAGUUUAUGAAACUUAAAAUGUGUACAAACUGCAGUGCAAUCUACUGUUCGUGAAUGUCAAUGUAUUAUCAGGAAACGUGUCUAUACAAUCACAGAGUUAUAUUUUCUCACAGACUUCUUUACAAAGUGAAAUACGUUUUUGUACCUCUGGGUUUCUGUUCGGGACAUAUUUUGUGCAAUAUUUAUGUGAUUGUGCCUAUGCAUGAUGAAUGAAUGCCUUUCAGUUAUAUAUUGCCUAAAUUGUAACUUGAUGAUGCUUGGGAAAGACUCAACAGUUAAAACUUCAUGAAGUUCUAAUGUCUGUGUUCCAAAACACAUCACAUUGUUAGGAUGCAGGGAGAUAGGUGUGUGUGCUCCCUGCGGUGGGGAUUUCUAGUUACUAGAUCAUCUCCAUUUUUAGCAUUUGGCAUCCUCAUGAUACUUCUAUAAAUAUGACAUUAACAGGAGAGCAACAAUACGAUUUUACCG